GCUUCCGGAGCUAACGCGUAAGUCGACCGCCUGGGGAGUAUGGCCGCAAGGUUAAAACUCAAAUGAAUUGACGGGGGCCCGCACAUGCGANGGAGCAUGUGGUUUAAUUCGAUGCACGGAAGAACCUUACCUACUCUUGACAUCCAGAGAACUUAGCAGAGAUGCUUUGGUGCCUUCGGGAACUCUGAGACAGGUGCUGCAUGGCUGUCGUCAGCUCGUGUUUGUGAAAUGUUGGGUUAAGUCCCGCAACGAGCGCAACCCUUAUCCUUUGUUGCCAGCGGUCCGGCCGGGAACUCAAAGUAGACUGCCAGUGAUAAACUGGAGGAAGGUGG
Molecule: ribosomal RNA, 332 nt
Filed under: Enterobacter sp. DJM5B12
Lineage: Bacteria; Pseudomonadati; Pseudomonadota; Gammaproteobacteria; Enterobacterales; Enterobacteriaceae
Description: bacterial SSU rRNA
Rfam family: Bacterial small subunit ribosomal RNA
Source: RNAcentral